UGGGGAAUAUUGCACAAUGGCGGGAACUCUGAUGCAGCGACGCCGCGUGAGUGAUGAAGGAAUUCGUUUCGUAAAACUCUGUUCUAUGGGAAGAAAAGGACUGUACCAUAGGAGAAAGCUCCGGCUAAAUACGUGCCAGCAGCCGCGGUAAUACGUAUGGAGCUAGCGUUGUCCGGAAUUAUUGGGCGUAAAGGGUGCGCAGGCUGCUUUACAAGUUGGAUGUGAAAUAUUGUGGCUCAACCACAAACGUGCAUCCAAAACUGCAAAGCUUGAGUUAAGGAGAGGUAAGUGGAAUUCCUGGUGUAGCGGUGGAAUGCGUAGAUAUCAGGAGGAAUACCGGUGGCGAAGGCGACUUAAUGGACUUAAACUGAAGCUCAGGCACGAAAGGGUGGGGAGCAAACAGG
RNAcentral lists this ribosomal RNA (404 nucleotides) under Fusobacteriota bacterium. RNAcentral's name for it is "Fusobacteria bacterium partial 16S ribosomal RNA". It matches the Rfam family "Bacterial small subunit ribosomal RNA", at positions 355 to 776 of the family's 1533-position model. Lineage: Bacteria; Fusobacteriati; Fusobacteriota. The record is from RNAcentral.